GUACUUUCAUUUCUACUUAUUUCAGUCGAAACAAAUUGAUAACGCCAUGAAUUAGUGGAUGAGAUCUUUAAAAUAAAUUCAAUAGCUAAAAAAGGGCUAAAUCUACGACACUGAAUAUGAGUAUGACAUGAACAAUUAACUGAAACAAAACUAAUAAUGCCACAGAUCAACAAAGAUAGAGUAUCUGAACAAUUUUAUGGCUAAAAUGCUAGAUCUAUAAAAUUACAAACAAUUGUAGCACAAACAACCAGAAAAUUUGAUGAGAACGACCAAAUAAAAAUUUGAAGUUCGAGGAUGAAAAGCAAGCUAUCGAACAACAACAAACAACAUCAAUCUUCAGAGGCUUGUCACUCGAAUUAUUCUUUGGAACCCGAAAAUUUCAUGAUGAACAUACAGUAACUAGAAACCUUUGAAAAUCCCUUUGAAUCCUACUGUUCUUCAAUUUCGAAAUCCUCUCUUCUUUUCUCUUUUUUUUUUGAUUUUUUUUUUCGGAUCUCUAUUUGAGGAUUUCGAGCUUUGAAUUUAGCUGCUAUUGUGUGUAAGUCGUGUGCGAUUGAGUGUGUUUGUGGGUGAAGUGCAAGUGAGAGAGCGACGAAGGGGAGGCGAGCAACUUAGUUCUGGUUGUAAAAGGGAAGGAGUUUCGUUUCUAUGGAAUUGGGGAUGGGGGUGACGGUUAGGGUUCCAAAAAUGGGGGGAGGGUUUCGUCCGUCUUCUCUUGAGAGCAUCAGGUGACAACUAGGUUUUUAGGUUAAGGUGGGGUGGAUCCGUUCUCCUCUCUUUAUAAUGGGGAAUAAGGUUGUUUUAAUGAAUGGGGAGAGGGGAUUGGGCCAGGCGGACGGGUUUGGGGCGAGAAUUGGGUCGUUUAUCAUUGGCCCAGUUUGAAAAACAAAGUAAAUAGCCUUUUUCUUUCCUAGUCUAAAUGUUUUCUAAAUUGACCAAUCUAAUUCUAGUUAAAGCUAACUUUACAAAAUUAACCUAAUUAUCUAUUUUCUAACAAUUAACUAACUUGUUUAACUAAAAUUCAUGUAAGAUGACUAAUGUAUUUUGGAUAUUUUAGUGUUUUAUAAAUGCAAUUAAUUAUACAAUUAAAAUCUAAACAUGUAAAAAUUAAAUUAUUUUUGUUAUGUUUUUUAAGAUUUAAAAAGCUACUAAAAAUGCACCAAACACAAAUACGCAUGAAGCAAAUCAAGUAAAAUAAAUAAAAAUUCCUAAUAUUCGAUCAAAUAAUUAAAAGCUAUUUAUUUGAGAUUUUUUAGGAGUAAUUUUAUAUAUUGGGCAAAACUUACGUGCUCACAGCUGCCCCUCUUUGCUCGAGAACAUGAAAGUUUUCGGGCAAAGAUAAAGUGAGCAAUUACGAGCAAUCUUUGCCCAUUUAACACUCCAUGGGAAGCAUUUUGAAAACGUUUGACCGAACCUUGUUUCAGAGAUUGCCUACAUAUCCUUGGCUAUAAAGGAAUCAGGUCAGUGUAGUUUGGGAAGUUUUGGUAGUUGGGACUACCGGAAAGCUGUGAUUUCACUGAUGUUGCUGCUGUUUACUGCUUGCUGAGCUCCUUAUUAUACCAAAGUUAAAAUGAAAAAGAAACUAACUAAGCCUAUCCGCUAUGAGUUACAAAAUUCCUAUCUAUAAGUCUUCUGAAGCUUGAUCUUGAGUCUUGAAUGGUUCUUCAUGCAGACUAUUAAUUCGAACCUUGAUGCUCGCUAGCUACAUGUGUUAGUUCAUUCUUCUAUGACUUCUUCUGAUUAAAAAUGGGGAAUGCAGUGCUCGUGACUUCAGUCAUAUCUUGAGCAGUUCAUAUCUUUCAUCUGCUUCUACAUCUUACGUUCACUUUCUUUUUUCUUUUCUUUUCUUUUCUUUAUUUUGGAUUGAGAUUUCUUCUUAUGGUUAUCUCGAACCACGUGCCUCGAGGUAAAACCUGCUCAGACACCAAAACAAACAAACGAACAAAAAAUUUUUCCCCCAGUUUACACUAGGAAAAUUUCGUGAGUUUUUUGUAACAAAACUCUUUUCUACUUCAUUAUUGAAAGCAAUAAAAGGGUCGUGAAUGGUGUACCCGGAGAAAACAUGAUUCUUUGGGAAUGGUUUACCCUGAUUGUCAAAAUGGUGCCCAACUAGGGAGUGAAAAACCCUAUGUUGGAAAAGAGACUAGGGAAUGGAGACCCUAUGUCUAAAAUAAAAUCAACUAGGGAGUGGAGACCCUAUGUCUAAAAUAAAAUCAAAUAGGGAGUGGAGGCCCUAUGUUGGAAAAGCGAUUAGGGAGUGGAGACCCUAUGUCUAAAAUAAAAUCAAAUAGGGAGUGUAGACCUUAUGUUGUAAAAGCGACUAGGGAGUGGAGACCCUAUGUCUAAAAUAAAACCAACUAGGGAGUGGAGACCCUAUGUUAGAAAAUCGACUAGGGAGUGGAGACCCUAUGUCUAAAAUAAAAUCAACUAGGGAGUGGAGACUCUAUGUUGGAAAAGAGACUAGGGAGUGGAGAGACUAUGUCUAAAAUAAAUAUCAACUAGGGAGUGAAAACCCUAUGUUGGAAAACGCAGCUAGGGAUUGGUGUACCCUUUACUACCAUGAUUUUGAACUUUCCUUUUUUUUUUCCCCAUCAUUUUAAUAUUUGUUUUUUCAUUUUUUUUAAUUAUUCUUUAGAGAAUGAGUAAAUACGGGAAAGAAUUUGAAGUAGACUUCCCUUUUGGAGUUGUUUCUAGCUCCCGCGCUGUUUAUUCUCCUUCUUUUUUUUUUUUUGGUUGCACCUUCUUUUUGCAAGGUUGCUUUUGGGUUGCACAUGUUUCCUGUUUUUCAAACAAAGAACAAUUGUUAGUUUGAAACAGUGGUUGGUUUUGCGGCCUUGAGUGUUUCAGUUUCUUGAUCUUGGUCGGCUUCUCUGAUGAUAAUUUCACCUGCAAAUGCUAGUUUCCUGAAUACCGAUUGCACUUCUGUCCCCGGAGAACCUUUCGCUUUUCCAAACUUUACCUUGAUGGUUGGCCGCGUGGGACUUAACCUUUUUCAACUUUAUUUUGCCCUUGUGGGAAUUUUACUACUUCCAAGAGUUUUUAAUUUCAAAGCAUCAGCCACCAUGGCCAGUCGGGAUUGACUUGAUGCCCCUACUGAGGUUGGGUGCCUCUUGCAUAUAUUAGCUUGUUUCAAACGAAAGCCUUGUAAAUCAGUCUUGACAUCCCUUCUUUGCCUUAGUUUUGGAACAGAGUUAGAUCGAAAGGGAUUCAAAGAAAAACAAAUAAUGGAAUGGACAAUUGAAUUUAGACAAGAGGUAUCCCUUUCGGGGAAAGAAAAGAAGGACUUAUCUGAAGUACAUGCGGACUUCAAUGAACAUGACAUGCCUUUUGGACUUGAUGGCUGAUCUGUGUAAACCGUCUGUCUCUCAGAAAUUCACCAAAACUUUUUUCUUGAAACCGAGAAACCUUGCCCAGGACUGUGUCAAUGCCAAUGGAUGCAGGAAUCCUCUGUUUCGAUCAAUGGUGCCCUUUGCAGGUUUUCACCAACUGACCUCUCUCAUUUUUCUUCCCACCAUCGCCUUAUAGUGCUCUUCGCGAGUUUUCACUAACAAGACUCUCUCAUUUUGGUGGCAUCAGAUUCAAGUGAUUGUAUCCUCAAAUUCUUGAACAUUCUCAUUGAUUGAUCGGAAGGACUUGAAAAGGAUUUGGGUAAAAAAGAUUUGGAUUGAAUUAAAGCUUUGGAACCUUUCAGGCGAAACCACCGCCGAGCCAUUGUAACAUCUGCCCUUGUUUCAAUUUUUUAGAGAAUGUGGAUUUUUAUUUUGGUGUGACUGAACCCCAGAGAGAGGCUACUUACGUAUCCUUUCAGAAUUCUGAACCCUGAACCAGAGAUUCUGGGUUCGUUCCCCAGUAGAGUCGCCAGAGCUGUCACACCUUCUUUUUCCCGAGGGAUAGAGGAGUUUUUCAAUUAAAGUGACAUUAUUCGAAAUGAGAUUAUUUAUUUAAUUUAGAGUUGCCACUUGGAAUAAUUUAUGGUGUCCCAAGUCACCGGUUUAUUUUAAAAUCCCAAAUCGAGAAAAUUGACUCUAUUUUAUGGUCUGCGAACACAUAAGACCAGGUAAGAAAUUCUGUUAACCUGUGAGAAGGUGUGAGGCACUCCCGAGUUUCGUGGUUUUAUCACGAUCACUUAACAAUUAAUACUUGGCCUAAUUAUCUAAUUUAUUACCUGUUAUACACCUAUUGUGUAUUUUACCUUGGACCGUUUUUAAUUAUUUAUUUAACCGCUUUUAGUAUUUACGGAAUUUAUUUGAACAAGUUGUGAUGUCGCGCACUUGUUUGUUUUUGUACAUAUUGCGUAUCGCGUUACGUGAAGCGCACCCGCAAUUUAUAACAUGUUUAUUUAUUAUUAUUAUUAUUAUUAUUAUUAUUAUUUAAAGUUAUGGUCGAGUCAUGUGAAACGCACACUCGAAUUGGGGGAUUAUGUAUUAUGACUAUGCCACGGAAACCGUACCCAUAGUCACAAUAAUUUAUUAACCGCGCGUAAAGAAAGCUACGAAUAUUUAUAAGUUAUUUAUUUUCCUAAAGUUUGAGAUUAACAUGGAGUUCUUGGGAUUACGGGUAAGUCUGGUAAAAGAAGUGUGGCUUUGACUAUGAAAUGUUAGUAUAACCAAAUACCUUAUAAAUGAAUUCAUUACUAAUAUUUUUAUUCACAUAAUCUAAUUUGAACUAAAGCUAGUGUUUGACUUAAUCAUUGUCAGUUCUCCAAAAUGGGCCGAUUCAAAGUCGGGCCCAAAAGCAAAGCACUAGCAAUCUCAAUUUUUGCAGACUUAAUAUCUGUGCAUACAUAGUCACAUUUAGCAUUACAGGGAUUGUUACACUCAUAUGUAAUUCAAACAGAAAAAUCAUCAAGGCACUGCCAUUUGGAUAAUUAAUCAUCAAUUAUUUGUAUCGAACUAGCCCGUACUUCCAUUUCUACUUAUUUCAGUCGAAACAAAUUGAUAACGCCAUGAAUUAGUGGAGGAGAGCUUUAAAACAAAUUCAAUAGCUAAAAAAAGGCUAAAUCUACGACACUGAAUAUGAGUAUGACAUGAACAGUUAACUGAAACAAAACUAAUAAUGCCACAGAUCAAUAAAGAUAGAGUAUCUGAACAAUUUCAUGCCUAAAAUGCUAGAUCUAUAAAAUCACAAACAGUUAUAGCACAAACAACCAGAAUUUUUAUUCAUAAGCUCAAAGAGAGAGAAUAAGUGAAUAUACACAUACCUAGAAACAUAACUCAUAUGAGAACGACCAAAUGAAAAUUUGAAGUUCGAGGAUGAAAAGUAAGUUAUGGAAUAUCAACAAAACAACAACAAUCUUCAGAGGUUUUUCACUCGAAUUAUUCUUUGGUACCGGAAAUUUCAUGAUGAACAUAUAGUAACUAGAAACCUUAAAUCCCUUUGAAUCCUAUUGUUCUUCAAUUUUGAAGUCCCCUCUCUUCUUCUUUUUUUUUUUUGAUUUUCUUUUCGAAUCUCUAUUUGAGGAUUUCGAGCUUUGAAUUUAGCUGUUAUUGUGUGUAAGUCGUGUGCGAUUGAGUGUGUGUGGGUGAAGUGUAAGUGAGAGAGUGACGAAGGGGGAGGUGAGCCGUUUAGUUCUGGUUGUAAAAGUGAGGGAGUCUCGUUUCUAUGGAAUUGGGGAUGGGGGUGACGACUAGGUUUCCAAAAAUAGGGGGAGGGUUUCGUCUGUCUUCUCUUGAGAGCAUCAGGUGACAGCUAGGGUUUUAGGUUUGGGUUUGGGGGGGGGGGGGGGGUUGGAUCUG
This 5735-nucleotide long non-coding RNA is filed under the name Nicotiana tabacum (common tobacco). RNAcentral's name for it is "long non-coding RNA (NTAB_LNC005435)". Lineage: Eukaryota; Viridiplantae; Streptophyta; Magnoliopsida; Solanales; Solanaceae. The record is from RNAcentral.